GUCCCACUAGCUCAGCGGUAGAGCAUUUCACUUUUAAUGAAGGGGUCCGGAGUUCGAUUCUCCGGUGGGACACCA
This 75-nucleotide transfer RNA is filed under the name Mycoplasmataceae bacterium. RNAcentral's name for it is "tRNA-Lys". It matches the Rfam family "tRNA". Rfam says of the family: Transfer RNA (tRNA) molecules are approximately 80 nucleotides in length. Their secondary structure includes four short double-helical elements and three loops (D, anti-codon, and T loops). Further hydrogen bonds mediate the characteristic L-shaped molecular structure. tRNAs have two regions of fundamental functional importance: the anti-codon, which is responsible for specific mRNA codon recognition, and the 3' end, to which the tRNAs corresponding amino acid is attached (by aminoacyl-tRNA synthetases). tRNAs cope with the degeneracy of the genetic code in two manners: having more than one tRNA (with a specific anti-codon) for a particular amino acid; and 'wobble' base-pairing, i.e. permitting non-standard base-pairing at the 3rd anti-codon position. Lineage: Bacteria; Bacillati; Mycoplasmatota; Mollicutes; Mycoplasmatales; Mycoplasmataceae. The record is from RNAcentral.